UAGUACGAAAAACUUUCGAGUUCGUUUCGUUUGCGUAUUCAAAGUGCCAUCGAAAAAUUUUGUAUGAAAAAUUAAACAGCGCCCCCUAUAGGUCAUAAAAAGAAAAAAACACCUAACUUUCGAUUUUCUUUCGUAUCGAGUUCAAAUACUAGGCGUGACGAAAGAUGGAUUUUGUAUGAAAUAACGUAGUACGAACCUAAUUUUGACAAUCAACGGUCGUUUCGUUGUCGUUGAAAUCAUCGAAUGUUGUGUCACUGUCAAUUUUGUUGUGAGAAGAUUACGUUGAUAUAAAUUUUACGUGUUUUUGAGGCUUACAUGUGGAGAUUAUGUGGUCGGCGAAUUUAUUUCCUUGUUUGGCAUCAUUUAGAUUGUUUAGAUGCUUUAAGUUAAGAGAUUAGGAAGCAUCCCAACAGCAGGUAUUUGACCACAAUCGCACAUGAUGUUAAGAGGGAUGCAGUCUAGGAUGGUACAUAUCUGCCCUGUAAGAUACCUACUUAUGUGACAAAUUGCCGGAAAGAUAGUCUUAUGGCAACAAAAAGAGUGUCCUUGGAACACAAGGCAAGUACAUAAUUUAUUCAUACAUUCUGUCUACUCUACAUACCACAUGAUUUCUUUGUCAUUUGAUAGAUAAUAAUUAUUACAGGUUAUAUUAUGUGCUAUGCAUUAAGAUGCAUCCAGUUCAUACCAAGGCACUGAUGGUAUGAAGAAGCAUUUGGAAUUACUUAACCAAUGCUCUCAAUACCCCCAACAUACUCGGAGAAGUAGGUACCUACCCUACCCAAACCUUACAAAGAUCCAGCUCCGGCACAGAAUAAGUAAUAGGACUAAGGUUCCUAGGCACACUUAAGAAAUACCAUCAACACUUGCGGGCAAAUAGACAUUAAUGGGAUUAAAACAAAAUAU
Long non-coding RNA from Ostrinia nubilalis (European corn borer), 903 nucleotides. RefSeq lists it as uncharacterized. The transcript has 3 exons. The record is from RefSeq and is a predicted model, not a curated record. NCBI's taxonomy places the organism in Eukaryota, Metazoa, Arthropoda, Insecta, Lepidoptera, Crambidae.